GUGAGCCUUGAUCGACCAAACACCCCUGUACAAGAGCUUCUCUGUUAAAACCCUAAAUUCAUCCGUCUACAUCAAAAAUCAAAGAAGGAAAAUCAAGUUUGAAUCAAUUUCAAGUGAAAUUAGUGAUCAUCAUACUUAGUAUAUCACAAGGUAUGUGAAAAUUUGAUAUGUGGCAAUUUAGGUGGAACCUCAAGUAAUCAAGGAGGAUCGGAUAACCAUUUGAAAGGAAAGCUUUAAAAGGUAAAGGAAUGGACUUGCGGAUGAUGAUCAAGUCUUGUUAGAGAACCGAACACGUGCUAAAAAGGAGCUUCCGCAAAGA
RNAcentral lists this long non-coding RNA (319 nucleotides) under Helianthus annuus (common sunflower). RNAcentral describes it as "sRNA HanXRQr2_Chr13g0568021". Lineage: Eukaryota; Viridiplantae; Streptophyta; Magnoliopsida; Asterales; Asteraceae. The record is from RNAcentral.